CCUACGGGAGGCAGCAGUGAGGAAUAUUGGUCAAUGGACGCAAGUCUGAACCAGCCAAGUCGCGUGAAGGAUGACGGCCCUACGGGUUGUAAACUUCUUUUGUCAGGGAGCAAUUGGGUCCACGCGUGGGCUUAGCGAGAGUACCUGAAGAAAAAGCAUCGGCUAACUCCGUGCCAGCAGCCGCGGUAAUACGGAGGAUGCGAGCGUUAUCCGGAUUUAUUGGGUUUAAAGGGUGCGUAGGCGGAAUAUCAAGUCAGCGGUAAAAAUUCGGGGCCCAACCCCGGGACUGCUUUGGAAACUGUGUAACUGGAGUACAGGAGGGGCAGGCGGAAUUCCUGGUGUAGCGGUGAAAUGCGUAGAUAUCAGGAGGAACACCGGCGGCGAAGGCGGCCUGCUGGACUGAAACUGACGUUGAGGCUCGAAAGCGUGGGGAGCAAACAGGAUUAGAUACCCGUGUAGUC
Molecule: ribosomal RNA, 461 nt
Filed under: uncultured bacterium
Lineage: Bacteria
Description: partial 16S ribosomal RNA
Rfam family: Bacterial small subunit ribosomal RNA
Source: RNAcentral